Molecule: transfer RNA, 65 nt
Filed under: Dipodomys ordii (Ord's kangaroo rat)
Lineage: Eukaryota; Metazoa; Chordata; Mammalia; Rodentia; Heteromyidae
Rfam family: tRNA
About the family: Transfer RNA (tRNA) molecules are approximately 80 nucleotides in length. Their secondary structure includes four short double-helical elements and three loops (D, anti-codon, and T loops).
Source: Rfam by way of RNAcentral
GGUGGCUCAGUGGUAGAGUGCUUGCCUUGCAUGCAUGAGGUCCUGGGUACGAUUCCUCAGCACCA